RNAcentral lists this ribosomal RNA (875 nucleotides) under uncultured bacterium. RNAcentral's name for it is "bacterial SSU rRNA". It matches the Rfam family "Bacterial small subunit ribosomal RNA", at positions 505 to 1380 of the family's 1533-position model. The record is from RNAcentral.
GUGUCAGCCGCCGCGGUAAUACGAAGGGACCUAGCGUAGUUCGGAAUUACUGGGCUUAAAGAGUUCGUAGGUGGUUAAAAAAGUUGGUGGUGAAAUCCCAGAGCUUAACUCUGGAACUGCCAUCAAAACUUUUUAGCUAGAGUAUGAUAGAGGGAAGUAGAAUUUCUAGUGUAGAGGUGAAAUUCGUAGAUAUUAGAAAGAAUACCGAUUGCGAAGGCAGCUUUCUGGAUCAUUACUGACACUGAGGAACGAAAGCAUGGGUAGCGAAGAGGAUUAGAUACCCUCGUAGUCCAUGCCGUAAAACGAUGUGUGUUAGACGUUGGAAAUUUAUUUUCAGUGUCGCAGCGAAAGCAAUAAACACACCGCCUGGGGAGUACGACCGCAAGGUUAAAACUCAAAUGAAUUGACGGGGACCCGCACAAGUAGUGGAGCAUGUGGUUUAAUUCGAAGAUACGCGCAGAACCUUACCAACACUUGACAUGUUCGUCGCGACUCUAAGAGAUUAGAGUUUUCGGUUCGGCCGGACGAAACACAGGUGCUGCAUGGCUGUCGUCAGCUCGUGUCGUGAGAUGUUGGGUUAAGUCCCGCAACGAGCGCAACCCAUACUUUUAGUUGCCAUCAUUUAGUUGGGAACUCUAAAAGAACUGCCAGUGAUAAGCUGGAGGAAGGUGGGGAUGACGUCAAGUCCUCAUGGCCCUUAUGUGUUGGGCUACACACGUGCUACAAUGGCAUUUACAAAAGGAAGCAAGAUGGUGACAUUAAGCAAAUCCUAAAAAAAUGCCUCAGUUCGGAUUGUACUCUGCAACUCGAGUACAUGAAGCUGGAAUUACUAGUAAUCGCGGAUCAGCGUGCCGCGGUGAAUGCGUUCCCGGGUC